This is a long non-coding RNA of Branchiostoma belcheri (Belcher's lancelet), 574 nucleotides long. RefSeq lists it as uncharacterized. The transcript is spliced from 2 exons. Lineage: Eukaryota; Metazoa; Chordata; Leptocardii; Amphioxiformes; Branchiostomatidae. The record is from RefSeq and is a predicted model, not a curated record.
GCCCACCGCCAUAUUUACUAACCGGAAGAUGUACUAUUUCACUACAUCGCUAGAUGUCGCUGUUCAUGUUGCUCUUGGAAGCCCCCGGAUGUACUAGAGGGCAUGUAUGGGGGUGAUAGUGAUUACGGAUUACGCAAAAUUUUCGCCACCGAUUACGAAUUAAGUAAAAUUCUCAGAGCUAUUAAAACUUUAUGCAUUAAGGCUAAUAUAAUAUUACGAAUUUCAUUGAUUUGGAGGGCGACUGCCAACGGAUUACGAAGACUUAAAUGGUCCGAUUACGCCUCAGGAAAAAGGGUAUGCAGGCUUCUACAACGAGCAUUCCAGCUCUCAGAUGUGUCUUUGGCAUUUGGAUACCACAAAGCAAUCAACCUAUGCCACCAUUCACUCAAUACCAGCCUGUGCCACCGUGCACUCAAUACCAGCCUGUGCCACCGUGCACUCAAUACUAAUGUGCCAUUGUGCAGAACUUGCAGAUUGUAUACUGGAUGAGUCCAUGUCUCACGAGUGAAUUAUUAAAACCAGAAACUGUAUCUUGCCCUGAAACCAAAUAUUCAAUAAACAAUCUGAACACAUA